AAUGAACGCUGGCGGCAGGCCUAACACAUGCAAGUCGAACGAGUGGCGGACGGGUGAGUAAUGUCUGGGACACUGCCUGAUGGAGGGGGAUAACUACUGGAAACGGUAGCUAAUACCGCAUACCAUCGGAUGUGCCCAGCUGGGAUUAGCUAGUAGGUGGGGUAAAGGCUCACCUAGGCGACGAUCCCUAGCUGGUCUGAGAGGAUGACCAGACACACUGGAACUGAGACACGGUCCAGACUCCUACGGGAGGCAGCAGUGGGGAAUAUUGCACAAUGGGCGCAAGCCGGAUGCAGCCAGGCCGCGUGUAUGAAGGAGGCCUUCGGGUUGUAAAGUACUUUCAGCGGGGAGGCGUUACCCGCAGAAGAAGCACCGGCUAACUCCGUGCCAGCAGCCGCGGUAAUUC
Molecule: ribosomal RNA, 406 nt
Filed under: uncultured bacterium
Lineage: Bacteria
Description: partial 16S ribosomal RNA
Rfam family: Bacterial small subunit ribosomal RNA
Source: RNAcentral